RNAcentral lists this ribosomal RNA (459 nucleotides) under uncultured bacterium. Its description in RNAcentral is "partial 16S ribosomal RNA". It matches the Rfam family "Bacterial small subunit ribosomal RNA", at positions 338 to 795 of the family's 1533-position model. The record is from RNAcentral.
CCUACGUGUGGCAGCAGUGAGGAAUAUUGGUCAAUGGUCGGAAGACUGAACCAGCCAAGCCGCGUGAGGGAGGAAGGUACAGAGUAUCGUAAACCUCUUUUGUCAGGGAACAAAGGCGGGGACGUGUCCCCGGCUGAGUGUACCUGAAGAAAAAGCAUCGGCUAACUCCGUGCCAGCAGCCGCGGUAAUACGGAGGAUGCGUGCGUUAUCCGGGUUUAUUGGGUUUAAAGGGUGCGCAGGCGGUCUGUUAAGUCAGCGGUCAAAGCCCGGGGCUCAACCCCGGCCCGCCGUUGAAACUGGCAGUCUCGAGUUGGAGAGAAGUAGGCGGAAUGCGCGGUGUAGCGGUGAAAUGCAUAGAUAUCGCGCAGAACUCCGAUUGCGAAGGCAGCAUGCCGGCUCCACACUGACGCUGAGGCACGAAAGCGUGGGUAUCGAACAGGAUUAGAUACCCCUGUAGUC